Molecule: long non-coding RNA, 138 nt
Organism: Eurytemora carolleeae
Lineage: Eukaryota; Metazoa; Arthropoda; Copepoda; Calanoida; Temoridae
Exons: 3
Source: RefSeq, a predicted model, not a curated record
UCACACUUAAAUGUUAGUAGACAAAGGUGUGUUUGUAUUGUCUUUGAUUUUAGAGUCUCAAAGUUUUGAUACACAAGUGUCUAAAACGACCAAGCUUAUAUUUGCUUGAUUCACUUUUAAAAGAGAAUCAAAAUGACA